AGAUGAAAGAGGGGGAUAUGGCGAAAUUGGUAGAC
Molecule: transfer RNA, 35 nt
Filed under: Glycine tomentella
Lineage: Eukaryota; Viridiplantae; Streptophyta; Magnoliopsida; Fabales; Fabaceae
Description: partial tRNA-Leu
Source: RNAcentral